Molecule: long non-coding RNA, 453 nt
Organism: Paramisgurnus dabryanus
Lineage: Eukaryota; Metazoa; Chordata; Actinopteri; Cypriniformes; Cobitidae
Source: RefSeq, a predicted model, not a curated record
GGCCAUCUUACGUUUUGCAAGCUGUUGUUGAUCACAAAUUAUGCGUUUGGAGCAUCAGCUGUAAAAUGCCCGGUAGUGCUCAUGAUGCCAAUGUUCUACGCCAGUCUGACCUCUUUCAAAGAUCUCACCUGCUGCCAAAGGGUGUGAAGAACAUCGAGGGACAAGAUACUAGACUUUUAAUAGUUGGAGACCCUGCAUACCCUCUCCUCGACUGGCUCUUAAAAGGAUACAUCAAUUCCGCACAUUUGACCCCUGAACAAGAAUCUUUUAAUGCCUACUUGAGCUCAGUACGGGUGGGAGUUGAGAACACAUUCGGGAUUUUGAAGUCACGGUGGAGGGUGCUGCUAAAAAGAAGUGAUUUUCACUUCACAUUUACACCAACUGUGAUAGCCACCUGUUGUGCACUGCAUAACUUUUGCCAGACUGAGAAGGACAAUGCCAACACCAGGUGGC